CGCCGCGGGAAAUCCUUCUCUAUAUAAGUUCUCGGACGAGGUUUUCCUCUGGAAAUGAAUAGAACUUUGAUAGGCGGAACGCGCAAGCAUAGGAGCAUUCGCCAGCAAUGUGAAGCGUCAUCCGUACUAAUCGAAUUCUUACCAACUAAUAAGAAAGAUGUAAUCUUCCACAAGGUACAGGAACAGCCGAAUCCAGAAACAGAUGUAGGCCUCAAAGGGUUGCUCUUGCUAUAAUUCAAGGGACAUCAGCAGAAAUAUCUCGAGGGGUAGUUAAACGGGCAAGAGGUAAUAGCAGAAUAAUUGUGUGCGCUGGUGGACCUAAUACUUAUGGACCUGGAUCAGUCCCUCAUUCUUUUAGUCACCAAAAAUGUCCUCAUAUGGAAAAAAACAGCAAAUGGAUAGAGCAUCUAGGUCGUGAGGCUCAUCCACACGAAUGUAUGUGUUCAUUCAAUGGAGUGAAAUGGUUCCCCUAUCUCUAAGGGCCCGUAAAG
This 491-nucleotide unclassified non-coding RNA is filed under the name Hevea brasiliensis (rubber tree). Lineage: Eukaryota; Viridiplantae; Streptophyta; Magnoliopsida; Malpighiales; Euphorbiaceae. The record is from RNAcentral.